This 793-nucleotide ribosomal RNA is filed under the name uncultured bacterium. RNAcentral's name for it is "bacterial SSU rRNA". It matches the Rfam family "Bacterial small subunit ribosomal RNA", at positions 8 to 796 of the family's 1533-position model. The record is from RNAcentral.
AGAGUUUGAUCAUGGCUCAGAUUGAACGCUGGCGGCAUGCCUUACACAUGCAAGUCGAACGGCAGCACGGGGGCAACCCUGGUGGCGAGUGGCGAACGGGUGAGUAAUAUAUCGGAACGUGCCCUAGAGUGGGGGAUAACGUAGCGAAAAGUUACGCUAAUACCGCAUACGAUCUACGGAUGAAAGUGGGGGGAUCGCAAGACCUCAUGCUCAUGGAGCGGCCGAUAUCUGAUUAGCUAGUUGGUAGGGUAAAAGCCUACCAAGGCAUCGAUCAGUAGCUGGUCUGAGAGGACGACCAGCCACACUGGGACUGAGACACGGCCCAGACUCCUACGGGAGGCAGCAGUGGGGAAUUUUGGACAAUGGGGGCAACCCUGAUCCAGCAAUGCCGCGUGAGUGAAGAAGGCCUUCGGGUUGUAAAGCUCUUUUGUCAGGGAAGAAACGGUGGGGGCUAAUAUCCUCUGCUAAUGACGGUACCUGAAGAAUAAGCACCGGCUAACUACGUGCCAGCAGCCGCGGUAAUACGUAGGGUGCAAGCGUUAAUCGGAAUUACUGGGCGUAAAGCGUGCGCAGGCGGUUUGGUAAGACAGAUGUGAAAUCCCCGGGCUUAACCUGGGAAUGGCAUUUGUGACUGCCCGGCUAGAGUGUGUCAGAGGGGGGUAGAAUUCCCGUGUAGCAGUGAAAUGCGUAGAGAUGUGGAGGAAUACCGAUGGCGAAGGCAGCCCCCUGGGAUAACACUGACGCUCAUGCACGAAAGCGUGGNNACAAACAGGAUUAGAUACCCUAGUAGUCC